GACGAACCCGUGCGAACGUUGUUCGGAAUCACUGGGCUUAAAGGGCGCGUAGGCGGGUCAGCCAGUCCGGGGUGAAAUCCUUCGGCUUAACCGGAGAACUGCCUCGGAGACGACUGAUCUGGAGGGAGGUAGGGGCGGCCGGAACUUCCGGUGGAGCGGUGAAAUGCGUUGAUAUCCUAAGGAACACCGGUGGCGAAAGCGGCUCACUGGAUCUUUUCUGACGCUGAGGCACGAAAGCUAGGGUAGCGAACGGGAUUAGAAACCCUGGUAGU
Molecule: ribosomal RNA, 272 nt
Filed under: uncultured bacterium
Lineage: Bacteria
Description: partial 16S ribosomal RNA
Rfam family: Bacterial small subunit ribosomal RNA
Source: RNAcentral